RNAcentral lists this ribosomal RNA (467 nucleotides) under uncultured bacterium. Its description in RNAcentral is "bacterial SSU rRNA". It matches the Rfam family "Bacterial small subunit ribosomal RNA", at positions 60 to 524 of the family's 1533-position model. The record is from RNAcentral.
AGUCGAACGGCAGCGCGGGGCAACCUGGCGGCGAGUGGCGAACGGGUGAGUAAUAUAUCGGAACAUACCCUAGAGUGGGGGAUAACGUAGCGAAAGUUACGCUAAUACCGCAUACGCACUAAGGUGGAAAGCGGGGGAUCGCAAGACCUCGUGCUCAUGGAGUGGCCGAUAUCUGAUUAGCUAGUUGGUAGGGUAAAAGCCUACCAAGGCGACGAUCAGUAGCUGGUUUGAGAGAACGACCAGCCACACUGGAACUGAGACACGGUCCAGACUCCUACGGGAGGCAGCAGUGGGGAAUUUUGGACAAUGGGGGCAACCCUGAUCCAGCAAUGCCGCGUGAGUGAAGAAGGCCCUCGGGUUGUAAAGCUCUUUUGUCAGGGAAGAAACGGUGUUUCCUAAUACGGAAUGCUAAUGACGGUACCUGAAGAAUAAGCACCGGCUAACUACGUGCCAGCAGCCGCGGUAAU